UUCCCCCAGUAACUGCGAGUGAAGCGGGAAGAGCCCAGCGUUGAAUCUGCCGGUCAUUGGCCGGUCGAACUGUAACGUACGGUGGCGCCUUGAGCUCGGAGUCGGCAGCCAUCAAAGUUCUCCGGAGUGAGACGCCAUAGAGGGUGACAGCCCCGUUGAUGGUGGUUGCCGGGCCGAGGUGGGUGCACACCAAGAGUCGGGUUGUUUGGGAAUGCAGCCUAAAGCAGGUGGUAGACUCCACCGAAGGCUAAAUAUCGACACGAAACCGAUAGCGAACAAGUACUGUGAAGGAAAGUUGAAAAGAUGCCUGAAAAGGCGGUCAAAAGUACGUGAAACCGUCAGCAGGGAAGCAGAGAGCGGUAUCGUGGUUGAGCGUUAGUUGCCGCACAGAUUUGUGCGGUGGCCUUUUCGCUGAACGCGCCCGGCCCGCCGACACUGGCUGGGUGAACUGGUGUGUUGUUGCAGGCUGGCGAGCAUUUUCCAGUGUUUGACAUUGCAGCAAACCCAGUGCCCACCCACGUCAGUGUUGGGGUGGUUGAGUGGUGGCGACACGCCGUUACGCUGUUGCUUGUGGUUCGGGUGUGCUCCAAGGGCAUGUGCCGAGCAGAGCGGCAGAGUAAAGUGUGGCCAGCGCCGGGCGAGAUAGCUGGCUCUCUGACCCGUCUUGAAACACGGACCAAGGAGGCUAAAACGACAGCGAGUCGGUGGGUGGAAAACCCUGCGGCGUAGCGAAAGCAAGCAGUAGCACGCUCGUGCAUGAACCGCGUCAACUCGUGGCUUGUACGGGCCGCACUACUGACCGCUGCCGGUUAACUGUGCAGUGAGUUGCAGCUGUGGUUGUAGGACCCGAAAGAUGGUGAACUAUGCUUGACCAGGAUGAAGCCAGAGGAAACUCUGGUGGAGGUCCGAACAAGUUUUGACGUGCAAAUCAUAUUUGGCGAGUUGAGCAUAGGGGCGAUAGACUAAUCGAACCAUCUAGUAGCUGGUUCCCUUCGAAAUUUCCCUCAGGAUCGCUGGGGCGCGUAGUUGCAGCUUCAUCGGGUAGAGCGAAUGAUUAGAGGCAUCGGGGACAUAUUACUCUCGACCUAUUCUCAAACUAUCAACCGGUGAUAGGGUCGGUCUUGCUUGACGUGAAGCCGGCCCAUAGCAUGAGUGCUGCGCC
RNAcentral lists this ribosomal RNA (1162 nucleotides) under Ceratomyxa cardinalis. RNAcentral's name for it is "eukaryotic LSU rRNA". It matches the Rfam family "Eukaryotic large subunit ribosomal RNA", at positions 75 to 1121 of the family's 3401-position model. The record is from RNAcentral. Lineage: Eukaryota; Metazoa; Cnidaria; Myxozoa; Bivalvulida; Ceratomyxidae.